UUAUAAAUUUAGCAAACUAAUUGAAAGAUUAGGACGCAAAGCUAUGGGUCUAAGGAUAUCAUAAUAUCAACGAUUGCCAGGUUACAGAA
The sequence is a regulatory RNA element, 89 nucleotides long. It matches the Rfam family "c-di-GMP-I riboswitch aptamer". Rfam says of the family: GEMM was predicted in a large-scale screen for bacterial structured RNA regulatory elements. The record is from Rfam.